UGAAGAUGGGUGUGCGGCUGAUUAGGUAGUUGGCGGGGUAACGGCCCACCAAGCCUUCGAUCAGUAACUGGUGUGAGAGCACGACCAGUCACACGGGCACUGAGACACGGGCCCGACUCCUACGGGAGGCAGCAGUAAGGAAUAUUGGGCAAUGGACGCAAGUCUGACCCAGCCAUGCCGCGUGGAGGAUGAAGGUCCUCUGGAUUGUAAACUUCUUUUCUCUGGGGCGAAUAAAGGAUAUUCUUAUCCUCCUGACAGUACCAGAGGAAUAAGCACCGGCUAACUCCGUGCCAGCAGCCGCGGUAAUACGGAGGGUGCAAGCGUUAUCCGGAUUCACUGGGUUUAAAGGGUGCGUAGGUGGGCAGGUAAGUCAGCGGUGAAAUCCCCGAGCUUAACUUGGGAACUGCCAUUGAUACUAUCUGUCUUGAAUACCUUGGAGGUAAGCGGAAUAUGUCCUGUAGCGGUGAAAUGCUUAGAUAUGACAUAGAACACCAAUUGCGAAGGCAGCUUACUACACGGUCAUUGACACUGAGGCACGAAAGCGUGGGGAUCAAACAGGAUUAGAUACCCUGGUAGUCCACGCCCUAAACGAUGGAUACUCGACAUCAGCGAUACACUGUUGGUGUCUGAGCGAAAGCAUUAAGUAUCCCACCUGGGAAGUACGACCGCAGGGUUGAAACUUAAAGGAAUUGACGG
Molecule: ribosomal RNA, 696 nt
Filed under: uncultured bacterium
Lineage: Bacteria
Description: bacterial SSU rRNA
Rfam family: Bacterial small subunit ribosomal RNA
Source: RNAcentral